Psammomys obesus (fat sand rat) is the source of this 330-nucleotide long non-coding RNA. RefSeq lists it as uncharacterized. The transcript is spliced from 3 exons. NCBI's taxonomy places the organism in Eukaryota, Metazoa, Chordata, Mammalia, Rodentia, Muridae. The record is from RefSeq and is a predicted model, not a curated record.
CUACUGCAAAGGUCUGAGUGUUUUCGUCUCUCCGGGAUACGUAUGUUGAAACCUGUGAUCUCAGAAGGCAGCUCGAACAGAUGAAAAGCCAGGAGGAGGAGGGAGAAACUCCUCUGCCUUGAGGGUCUCCUCAGAACUGAAACUCUCUGAAGCCAUGAACAGAAUAAACAAUUCCAGCGAUGAGGAAAGAAAGAAACCUAAAGCCCUAACCCCUGGGAUGAUUGACAGGAGAAGGGUUUCUCUGUGUUCCUUAGCAGUCCUGGAGCUCACUCUGGAAACCAAGCUGGCCUCAUACUCACAGACAUGCUCCUGCCUCCGCCUCUCUAGUGC